AGAGUUUGAUCAUGGCUCAGAACGAACGCUGGCGGAAUGCUUUACACAUGCAAGUCGAACGAGUACUUUUUACGAGUGGCGAACGGGUGAGUAACGCGUGGGAACCUACCUUGAGGUAAAGAAUAACUACAGGAAACUGUAGCUAAUACUUUAUAUGCCCUACGGGGGAAAGAUUUAUCGCCUUUUGAGGGGCCCGCGUCAGAUUAGCUUGUUGGUAAGGUAACGGCUUACCAAGGCAUUGAUCUGUAGCUGGUUUGAGAGGAUGAUCAGCCACAUUGGGACUGAGACACGGCCCAGACUCCUACGGGAGGCAGCAGUGGGGAAUCUUGGACAAUGGGGGAAACCCUGAUCCAGCAAUUCCGCGUGAACGAUGAAGGCCUUAGGGUUGUAAAGUUCUUUUAGUAAGGAAGAUGAUGACGGUACUUACAGAAAAAGCUCCGGCUAACUCCGUGCCAGCAGCCGCGGUAAUACGGAGGGGGCAAGCGUUGUUCGGAAUUACUGGGCGUAAAGAGCGAGCAGGUGGUUCAUUAAGUCAAUUGUGAAAGCUCAAGGCUUAACCUUGAAAUUGCUUUUGAUACUGAUGAACUAGAGUUUGGGAGAGGAUAGUGGAAUUCUAAGUGUAGAAGUGAAAUUCGUAGAUAUUUAGAGGAACACCGAUAGCGAAGGCAACUAUCUGGCCCUUUACUGACACUCAGAAGCGAAAGCUUGGGUAGCAAACAGGAUUAGAUACCCUGGUAGUCCAUGCUGUAAACGAUGAGUGCUAGAUGUUAGAAGUUUACUUCUAGUAUCGAAGCUAACGCGUUAAGCACUCCGCCUGGGGAGUACGGCCGCAAGGCUAAAAC
This 842-nucleotide ribosomal RNA is filed under the name marine metagenome. RNAcentral describes it as "bacterial SSU rRNA". It matches the Rfam family "Bacterial small subunit ribosomal RNA", at positions 8 to 900 of the family's 1533-position model. The record is from RNAcentral.